GGUCAAUGGCCUAACGGCUGAACCAGCAACUUGGGGGAAUGGUUAUAUUUUAGAGAUAAUAUAUAGUACCGUACUCUGUCGGAUAAAGUUCUAGAUAGAAUAAUGAUAAUGACAAUUUUCUAUCUAUAUGUCUUGACCAAAUCUUGUGCCAGCAGUCGCGGCAACACAAGGGAGACUAGUGUUAUUCAUCUUUAUUAGGUUUAAAGGGUACCUAGACGGUAUAUUAAGCCCCCAAAGGGAACGGAUAUACUAGAGUUUUAUGUGAGAGGUAAAUAUAGUACUAUUGGUGUAGAGAUAAAAUUCAUUGAUACCUCUAGGCACGGGUAACGGCGAAGGCAAUCCUCUAUGUAAAAACUGACGUUGAGGGACGAAGGCUUGGGGAGCGAAUAGGAUUAGAUACCCUAGUAGUCCAAGCAGACAAUUAUGAAUGUCAUAGAUUAGAAGAAUUUUUGAUCUAUAAAUGAAAGUGUAAGCAUUCCACCUCAAGAGUAAAGCGGCAACGUUGGAACUGAAAUCAUUAGACCGUUUCUGAAACCAGUAGUGAAGUAUGUUAUUUAAUUCGAUGAUCCUCGAAAAAUCUUACCACAAUUUGAAUGUUAAUUAAUAAAUUAACACAGGCGUUGCAUGGCUGUCUUCAGUUAAUGUCGUGAGAUUUGGUUAGAUCCAAAAAAUUAUCGUAAACCCUUGUUCUUUAUUUGUUUGAAUAAUGCAGUUAACCGCUAUAUUGGAUUAUAUAAC
This 738-nucleotide ribosomal RNA is filed under the name Pseudofusicoccum adansoniae. RNAcentral's name for it is "SSU rRNA". It matches the Rfam family "Bacterial small subunit ribosomal RNA", at positions 366 to 1169 of the family's 1533-position model. Lineage: Eukaryota; Fungi; Ascomycota; Dothideomycetes; Botryosphaeriales; Botryosphaeriaceae. The record is from RNAcentral.